AUUUAAAUAGUUUAAUGAAAAUAUUGAUUUGUGAUAUCAAUGAUAUACUUAGUAUUUUAAAUU
This 63-nucleotide transfer RNA is filed under the name Timarcha goettingensis. RNAcentral describes it as "tRNA-His". The record is from RNAcentral. Lineage: Eukaryota; Metazoa; Arthropoda; Insecta; Coleoptera; Chrysomelidae.